This 189-nucleotide ribosomal RNA is filed under the name uncultured bacterium. RNAcentral describes it as "partial 16S ribosomal RNA". It matches the Rfam family "Bacterial small subunit ribosomal RNA", at positions 338 to 524 of the family's 1533-position model. The record is from RNAcentral.
CCUACGGGAGGCAGCAGUGAGGAAUAUUGGUCAAUGGACUCAAGUCUGAACCAGCCAUGCCGCGUGCAGGAAGACGGCUCUACGAGUUGUAAACUGCUUUUAUACGGGAAUAAACUUUGCUACGUGUAGCGAACUGAAUGUACCGUAAGAAUAAGCACCGGCUAACUCCGUGCCAGCAGCCGCGGUAAU